Long non-coding RNA from Salarias fasciatus (jewelled blenny), 405 nucleotides. RefSeq lists it as uncharacterized. NCBI's taxonomy places the organism in Eukaryota, Metazoa, Chordata, Actinopteri, Blenniiformes, Blenniidae. The transcript is spliced from 2 exons. The record is from RefSeq and is a predicted model, not a curated record.
CCUGAUCACAGGUCCAUAAUCCCUGAUCACAGGUUCAUAAUCCCUGAUCACAGGUCCAUAACCCCUGAUCACAGGUUCAUAAUCCCUGAUCACAGGUUCAUAAUCCCUGAUCACAGGUUCACAACAGCUGUGAUCAGUCAGUGGUGAUAUCAGUUAUUUCCUAACAUGCCAGUGAGUUUUAUGACAAGGUUCUUCCUGGUGUGUGUGUGUGUGUGUGUGUAUGUGUGUGUGUCUGUGUGUAACAAUGAAGCAGACUGCAGUGACUUCAUGGUUAGGUCAAUUUAUUGUUUUGCCGUCCUCAGCAGCUCCUCCAAUCUGUAGCAGGAAUGAAAUGUAACAUGGCCCAAACAAAACAACAUCUACAACACCUAAAAAAUAACAAUCAUAAAGAAAAGAAAUGGAAGA